AUUUGGAAACAAAUACAGCAUUUUCAAGACUUUGUGUUUUACUGCCAAUACCUGCAGGCUAAAACCAGUCUUCUAUAAUGGAAUACCAAGCUAUGACUUUUGAGUUUCUCAGCGCUUCUUCCUCAGUGAUUAUACAUGAACAGAAAGUCUGGGGACGGUUACCAUGUAUUUUCUCACGUUGACACAUCAUCUCCAACCUUUGACUCGCUGAA
This 212-nucleotide long non-coding RNA is filed under the name Elaeis guineensis (African oil palm). Its description in RNAcentral is "long non-coding RNA (EGUI_LNC029726)". The record is from RNAcentral. Lineage: Eukaryota; Viridiplantae; Streptophyta; Magnoliopsida; Arecales; Arecaceae.